Molecule: ribosomal RNA, 495 nt
Filed under: uncultured bacterium
Lineage: Bacteria
Description: bacterial SSU rRNA
Rfam family: Bacterial small subunit ribosomal RNA
Source: RNAcentral
GAUGGACGCUAGCUACAGGCUUAACACAUGCAAGUCGAGGGGAAACGACAUCGAAAGCUUGCUUUUGAUGGGCGUCGACCGGCGCACGGGGUGAGUAACGCGUAUCCAACCUGCCCACCACUUGGGGAUAACCUUGCGAAAGUAAGACUAAUACCCAAUGACGUCUCUAGAAGACAUCUGAAAGAGAUUAAAGAUUUAUCGGUGAUGGAUGGGGAUGCGUCUGAUUAGCUUGUUGGCGGGGUAACGGCCCACCAAGGCGACGAUCAGUAGGGGUUCUGAGAGGAAGGUCCCCCCACAUUGGAACUGAGACACGGUCCAAACUCCUACGGGAGGCAGCAGUGAGGAAUAUUGGUCAAUGGGCGAGAGCCUGAACCAGCCAAGUAGCGUGCAGGAUGACGGCCCCUAUGGGUUGUAAACUGCUUUUAUAAGGGAAUAAAGUGGGUCUCGUGAGACUUUUUGCAUGUACCUUAUGAAUAAGGACCGGCUAAUUCCGUG